RNAcentral lists this ribosomal RNA (303 nucleotides) under uncultured bacterium. RNAcentral describes it as "partial 16S ribosomal RNA". It matches the Rfam family "Bacterial small subunit ribosomal RNA", at positions 507 to 807 of the family's 1533-position model. The record is from RNAcentral.
AGCAGUCGCCGCGGUAAUACGUAGGUGGCAAGCGUUGUCCGGAAUUAUUGGGCGUAAAGGGCUCGCAGGCGGUUUCUUAAGUCUGAUGUGAAAGCCCCCGGCUCAACCGGGGAGGGUCAUUGGAAACUGGGAAACUUGAGUGCAGAAGAGGAGAGUGGAAUUCCACGUGUAGCGGUGAAAUGCGUAGGGAUGUGGAGGAACACCAGUGGCGAAGGCGACUCUCUGGUCUGUAACUGACGCUGAGGAGCGAAAGCGUGGGGAGCGAACAGGAUUAGAUACCCCCGUAGUCCCUGUCUCUUAUAC